RNAcentral lists this ribosomal RNA (116 nucleotides) under Pteropus alecto (black flying fox). Lineage: Eukaryota; Metazoa; Chordata; Mammalia; Chiroptera; Pteropodidae. The record is from RNAcentral.
GUCUAUGGCCAUGCCAGCCUGAACAAGCCCAAUGUCUGAUCUCAGAAGCUAAGAAGGGUUAAGCCUAGUUGGUACUUGGGUGGGAGACCACCUAGGAAGACUAGGUGCUGUAGGCA